GACGAACGCUGGCGGCGUGCUUAACACAUGCAAGUCGAACGAUGAAGAAAAGAAUUGCAGCUUCGGCAGAAAUUCAUUUCGGAUUAGUGGCAGACGGGUGAGUAACGCGUGAGCAACCUACCUCUUACAAAGGGAUAGCCUCGGGAAACCGGGAUUAAUACCAUAUAACAUUGCGACGAAGCAUUUCGAUGCAAUCAAAGCUACGGCGGUAAGAGAUGGGCUCGCGUCCCAUUAACCAGAUGGUGAGGUAACGGCUCACCAUAGUAACGAUGGGUAACCGGCCUGAGAGGGUGAACGGUCACACUGGAACUGAGACACGGUCCAGACUCCUACGGGAGGCAGCAGUGGGGAAUAUUGCACAAUGGAGGGAACUCUGAUGCAGCAACGCCGCGUGAGUGAUGAAGGAAUUCGUUUCGUAAAACUCUGUUCUAUGGGAAGAAAAGGACUGUACCAUAGGAGAAAGCUCCGGCUAAAUACGUG
This 480-nucleotide ribosomal RNA is filed under the name uncultured bacterium. RNAcentral describes it as "partial 16S ribosomal RNA". It matches the Rfam family "Bacterial small subunit ribosomal RNA", at positions 28 to 507 of the family's 1533-position model. The record is from RNAcentral.